RNAcentral lists this long non-coding RNA (923 nucleotides) under Homo sapiens (human). RNAcentral describes it as "HSALNT0328230". The record is from RNAcentral. Lineage: Eukaryota; Metazoa; Chordata; Mammalia; Primates; Hominidae.
CAGAGGUUUGGUGGAUGAAGAUUGUCUUGCUGUGUUCUUGGGCCAAUAGAAAGGCAGCUGCUGGCAGUCAAGUUAUGUGAAAGAAAUAAAGAAGUGUGUCUGUGUAAAAGGAGGCACAGAGGGACAUCUGUCCAGGAAGUGAAGACCAGAGUCAGGGGACCUUCAGAACCUGUCUUUCCUUCACAUGAAUUCAGGGUCUCAGUCUGCCACCCUAGCUGGAGUGCAGUGGUGUGAUCAUCGCUCACUGAAGCCUGGAACUCCUGGGCUCAAGUUUCCUCCUGCAUCAGCCUAAGUAGCUGGGACUACAGGUGUGCAUCACCACCGUGCCUGGCCUGAAAAUAUUUAUUGAAAACCACCUUGUGUACAGAGUGCUGUGGAAGGAUGAAGAAGACAUUGGAGAUCUUCAUUCUGUUGUUGAGGAACUACCAUCUAAAUUGGAGCUGAAAGCCUGUGAAAAUUGAUGUAAAUGCUUAUGAAAUAGCGGAGAAAGGACAAAUGAGCACUUCGACAAAGAAAGGGGAGGGACAGGAUAUUUUGUGUUUCUUCCCACUCUGACAGUGGCUGCCAGAGGCUGCCUUUCUGCAGCAAACUUCCCAUGUUUUCUUUUUAUAAGGUUUUUGGCCACCUAUUAAUUUUCUUCAGCCUUCUCUGGUUGAUCUUGUUCUGAUUUAGUUUCCUUUUGGGCAAGGAUGUGGGUCUAAUCAUUAACUCAGCCUACAGGCUUGUUGCCUUCAAAGAGUAACUCCUUCAAUCCAGGGGGCUGCGGUGGGGAAACAAAUAUCCAACACUUUUAAAGGAAAGCCAAAAAAAAAAAAAAAAGAAUUUAAAUUUUGCUCUUUGAAAAUAAGAGAAGGGGCCGGGCGCGGUGGCUCACGCCUGUAAUCCCAGCACUUUGGGAGGCCGAGGCGGGUGGAUCAUGAGGU